GUCCUUGUUUCAGCAGCACAUAUACUAAAAUUGGAAUGAUAAAGAGAAGAUUAGCAUUUCCCCUGAACAAGGAUGACAUGCUAAAAGGAUAGAACAAAAUAUCUGAU
This is a small nuclear RNA of Suncus etruscus (white-toothed pygmy shrew), 107 nucleotides long. The record is from RefSeq and is a predicted model, not a curated record. NCBI's taxonomy places the organism in Eukaryota, Metazoa, Chordata, Mammalia, Eulipotyphla, Soricidae.